RNAcentral lists this ribosomal RNA (252 nucleotides) under Odoribacter splanchnicus. Its description in RNAcentral is "partial 16S ribosomal RNA". It matches the Rfam family "Bacterial small subunit ribosomal RNA", at positions 524 to 776 of the family's 1533-position model. Lineage: Bacteria; Pseudomonadati; Bacteroidota; Bacteroidia; Bacteroidales; Odoribacteraceae. The record is from RNAcentral.
UACGGAGGAUGCGAGCGUUAUCCGGAUUUAUUGGGUUUAAAGGGUGCGUAGGCGGUUUAUUAAGUUAGUGGUUAAAUAUUUGAGCUAAACUCAAUUGUGCCAUUAAUACUGGUAAACUGGAGUACAGACGAGGUAGGCGGAAUAAGUUAAGUAGCGGUGAAAUGCAUAGAUAUAACUUAGAACUCCGAUAGCGAAGGCAGCUUACCAGACUGUAACUGACGCUGAUGCACGAUAGCGUGGGUAGCGAACAGG